UGCUUUGGCGGGCCCACCGGGGCUCACCUGGUCGCCGGGGGGCAUCGCCCCCGGGCCCGCGCCCGCCGAAGCACCCUAGGAACCCUGAUGAAGUUGGGCUGUCUGAGUCGAUAUGACAAUUGUCAAAACUUUCAACAAUGGAUCUUUUGGUUCCGGCAUCGAUGAAGAACGCAGCGAAAUGCGA
Molecule: ribosomal RNA, 184 nt
Filed under: Chromocleista sp. MH345
Lineage: Eukaryota; Fungi; Ascomycota; Eurotiomycetes; Eurotiales; Aspergillaceae
Description: 5.8S ribosomal RNA
Rfam family: 5.8S ribosomal RNA (bases 127-184)
Source: RNAcentral